GCAUGCGGGAGGCACGAGCCCAUUCUCCCGUGACGGUGACACCAACGGUUGGCUGAGGACGAUUCCCUGAGCCUUGACAAAGCAGGAGCCCUCCGUGGCGGUGCGUCGGUGUCGAGGCUCCAAUCUGACUAAUCCAGGGGGUCGACAAAACAGAUUCGGGACACUAUGCUACACGGAGGGCCUACCAGGAUGCAGAAACAGCAGACGGAGUCCAGGGAAAGCAGUGCGGCAUCCCAGCCUCAGGCCUGCCCGUACGGUGUUCGGAAAUACUAGGCUUUAGAAUUUCACCUUAUGAAUUUUGGGAGAGAGGAGCACAGUUCAGCCCAUAACUAACACACGACGGAAUGAAGUUGAUAAUAGUGAGACCUUGUUGGUACAAGACUCUGUAACAUAACCUGCGCUUCUCAACAAAGAAUUGCUUUUCUGACUUCUGCACUCAAUAGCAAGACAAAUCUCUCCUCUGUCUUUUUCUUAUCAGACUACUCAACAUGAAGGCAAUAAGAAUGAAGACCUUUAUGUAUAAUAAUUGACUUCCACUUAAUAAAUAAGGUUACUUGGUACACUGGUCGACAAAACCUUGAAAUGUUGAUGUUUAAGGGCUGUUGAUUGCUGGCAACAAAGAAGUCCAACUGUGCUGGUACCCGAGAUAGCGUCUCCACAUUUUCUUCCAGGAUCAUCACCUUUGUUGUAAAUAGCUCCCACAUAGUGUGAACAGAAGUCAUAUGUUUUAGAUUUUCUGCCUUGGCACCC
RNAcentral lists this long non-coding RNA (750 nucleotides) under Pan troglodytes (chimpanzee). Its description in RNAcentral is "lincRNA". The record is from RNAcentral. Lineage: Eukaryota; Metazoa; Chordata; Mammalia; Primates; Hominidae.